GUGCCAGCCGCCGCGGUAAUACAGAGACUGCAAGCGUUAUUCGGAUUCACUGGGCGUAAAGGGUGCGCAGGCGGCCAAGUGUGUGGGGCGUGAAAGCCCGGGGCUCAACCCCGGAAUUGCACUCCAAACUACAUGGCUAGAGUACUGGAGAGGGUAACAGAAUUCACGGUGUAGCAGUGAAAUGCGUAGAUAUCGUGAGGAAUACCAGAGGCGAAGGCGGUUACCUGGACAGUUACUGACGCUCAGGCACGAAAGCGUGGGGAGCAAAAGGGAUUAGAUACCCCUGUAGUCC
Molecule: ribosomal RNA, 292 nt
Filed under: uncultured bacterium
Lineage: Bacteria
Description: partial 16S ribosomal RNA
Rfam family: Bacterial small subunit ribosomal RNA
Source: RNAcentral